Populus euphratica (Euphrates poplar) is the source of this 1123-nucleotide long non-coding RNA. RefSeq lists it as uncharacterized. NCBI's taxonomy places the organism in Eukaryota, Viridiplantae, Streptophyta, Magnoliopsida, Malpighiales, Salicaceae. The transcript has 2 exons. The record is from RefSeq and is a predicted model, not a curated record.
UGAUCAGAUCUCCUCUUGAUAGUUCAUUCUUUAUCAGUUCUUUUUCAUACGUGGUGGUUUUUUUUUCAUCGUUAUUCUGUGCCUGAUGUCGAAGUUCCUUUUUUUCUAGGGAAAUAUAAAUCAUGUCCAAACUCCAAAGGACAUAUAUUUUGAUCAGUUUAUAGGAUCAAUCUCUAGAUGUGUGCUGUAGGAUCUUUUGGUGGCCUGAUGGUUUCAUUUUUAUCUGAAUAUCACAACUUUGAACUCAUAGUGAAUGCAAUAAGUUUGGUUGAGUUUGAUUACUUUGUAGGUCAUUCAGGUAGUAGAUAGUAUAGGCAAAAGAAAUUCUAUGGAGAAGGAAGUGCUCUGGAUUUAAGAGCUUUCACCUGCUGCAUUAUAAGGCUAACCUGCAACGCAUGCACUUUUUUUGUGGAUGAAUUUUGAAAUUCAGGUUCAAUGGAGAGCUUAAAUUUAGUUGUUUAGUGAUAUCAGUCCUUACCGUCAAAGGUAAAUUGACUACUCUUGUACUUGUUUGCUUUGACUAAAGAUUAGGUUGAGUUUAGCUCGAACUAAAUUGUAAAUUGUAGAAGCUCUGUCCAUCUACGACCAAAUGAAAGUGAUGUGGAUCUUAGGUUAACCUGUGACCAAAUUGUCAAAGCUGAGUUCCACCAACCUCUUUAAUGUAUUAGUUAGCUGGAAAACAUGGUUCAUUAUGCUAGAUGGUGACUGGCCAACUGUGUUAGAGACAAUGGACUUGAACAAUGAUGACAUGGCUGACUUGUACUGCUAUCGAUUAAAGCUGUUUGUUCAGAGUUGGAGUGAAAAGUGCGGUCAUAUGGAAAAAUUAGAUACCAUCUAUUUGAAUGCCAUUGACUGCUGUUGUUCCUGAUACCGGGAAAUAUUUUGCACUUUACCUUGAUUGCUUUUGUAGCUUUGUUGGGAUGUGGACGGGGUCAUUCAAAUGAAGAAGAGCUUAUUAUUUGUUGGAUAUCAUUGGAAAUUGCUGUAUAUAUUUCAAAGCUGUUUGCAAUACCUUGAGCAGUCUGAUAUGAAUUUUUGUAUGUUUGUAGAGAUAGGAAGCAGUAUGUCAAAGAAAUAUGGUGAUGCAGAUUUUGAUGUCAUUAGCUGCCUUCUCAGAAUUCAU